UACGUAGGUGGCAAGCGUUGUUCGGAAUUACCGGGCGUAAAGCGCGUGUAGGCGGCUCUUCAAGUCAGACGUGAAAGCCCCGGGCUUAACUCGGGAACUGCGUUUGAUACUGUCGAGCUAGAGUGUGGAAGGGGCGAUUGGAAUUCCGUGUGUAGCGGUGAAAUGCGUAGAUAUACGGAGGAACACCAGAGGCGAAGGCGGAUCGCUGGGCCAACACUGACGCUGAGACGCGAAAGCUAGGGGAGCAAACGGG
This 253-nucleotide ribosomal RNA is filed under the name uncultured bacterium. Its description in RNAcentral is "partial 16S ribosomal RNA". It matches the Rfam family "Bacterial small subunit ribosomal RNA", at positions 524 to 776 of the family's 1533-position model. The record is from RNAcentral.